UGGGGAAUUUUGGACAAUGGGGGAAACCCUGAUCCAUCCAUCCCGCGUGUGCGAUGAAGGCCUUCGGGUUGUAAAGCACUUUUGGCAGGAAAGAAACGUCAUGGGUUAAUACCCCGUGAAACUGACGGUACCUGCAGAAUAAGCACCGGCUAACUACGUGCCAGCAGCCGCGUUAAUACGUAGGGUGCAAGCGUUAAUCGGAAUUACUGGGCGUAAAGCGUGCGCAGGCGGUUCGGAAAGAAAGAUGUGAAAUCCCAGAGCUCAACUUUGGAACUGCAUUUUUAACUACCUGGCUAGAGUGUGUCAGAGGGAGGAGGAAUUCUGCGUGUAGCAGUGAAAUGCGUAGAUAUGCGGAGGAACACCGAUGGCGAAGGCAGCCUCCUGGGAUAACACUGACGCUCAUGCACGAAAGCGUGGGGAGCAAACAGG
This 429-nucleotide ribosomal RNA is filed under the name Acidobacteriota bacterium. RNAcentral's name for it is "Acidobacteria bacterium partial 16S ribosomal RNA". It matches the Rfam family "Bacterial small subunit ribosomal RNA", at positions 355 to 776 of the family's 1533-position model. The record is from RNAcentral. Lineage: Bacteria; Pseudomonadati; Acidobacteriota.